GGGCCCAUAGCUCAGCUGGGAGAGCGCUUGACUGGCAGUCAAGAGGUCAGCGGUUCGAUCCCGCUUGGGUCCACCA
This 76-nucleotide transfer RNA is filed under the name Pseudomonadota bacterium. RNAcentral describes it as "Proteobacteria bacterium tRNA-Ala". It matches the Rfam family "tRNA". Rfam says of the family: Transfer RNA (tRNA) molecules are approximately 80 nucleotides in length. Their secondary structure includes four short double-helical elements and three loops (D, anti-codon, and T loops). Lineage: Bacteria; Pseudomonadati; Pseudomonadota. The record is from RNAcentral.